CCACCAAGUUUCUGAUCUUUUAAAAGGCAAGGGACAUUUCUGGGUCUCAGAUACUUGGUUUCUUAAAUAUCAGGCAUUAUUAUUGGCAAACCCAGAUGCGCUGUCUCUGUCUGUGGGACACUCAAUCCUGCUACACUAUUACCAUCACCAGACGAGUCUCUUCCCUCUCACCUGUGUCGUGAGACCCUAUCCAUUUCUCUAGGAGCUAGAACAGACCUCACCGACAAACCCUGGAAAACCCUGAUGAGAUCUGGUUCACAGACGGGAGCCACAUAUUCUUGUGAACUUAGUGAUCUGCAACUGCUUCUCAAGCAACACUCCAGUGAGAUUGUUCCAUCACCCUAGAGGACUAUGGAUCCCUGUUAGAUAAACCUCUUUCUUAAACAUCUACUGGCUCUAAUCUUUUUUCUUUUAGGGCCCCAAUCAGAUUAUUUUAAUACUAAUUCAAAAUGUCUCUGACAUUAGGGUCCUUCUUUUUAUUCUUCCUUUAGUUCACUGGACUAACACUCCAACAUCUGCCUUUUAAAACCUAAACCAAUAGAAAGCACAGAAAUAAAUUUUUUUUAAGACCCUCGUCUGCUCCUUUCAUCCCUUAGCAAGGAUUAGGUCUAUAUACUUGACCUCUGUCUUUUCAACCUUCUUACAAAAUGUGUUUCUUCUCGUCUAGAGUUAAACUUCAAGUGGCUAUACAAGAUAUGCCUGCAUGUACAUAUCUAAAGUCCCUACAGCUCAGAUGAGUGACUACUAAGUUCAUUUUGGAGACUUCUUGUCAAUUUGAGUUACUUGUUUAUUUUACUGGACACUUACAUUUUCUUUAGAGAUAUUCAUGCUUAUCAGUAAAUAAUUGUGUAUUCUCCAUAAAUAGUUUGAAAUUUCAGACUUCCUGCAUUUAGCGAAGGCAACCAGGUUAAGAUACAUAUUCGUACAUUAAUGCUUUUUUUCGGGACACGCUGUCCUAUUUAAGCCAUCAAUUGAUUCAGCCUUCAAGAUCUUUCUGAAAAUAAACAGAGCUCUGAUAAUUAUUUACCAUGGAUGUUAAGCACUUUUUGAUCUUCGGUUAUGGCAUUCUUGGAACAAUUCAAUCCAUGAAUAAGGACUAACGGUGGAAAGAAAAGUUAAGAGGCCUGGCAAGAGUGGAUCGUCACAUGUCUGGAGGCCUCUUUGAUGGAAGGUCAUGAAGAGAAGAGCCCUCCAGUAGCAUCAGGAGAGAUUUCUUCAAACCUCAUCCCAUGCCACCCUUUGACCAUCAGUGUUUUGAAUCUAAGGAUAGCCUCAUCUAAAAAAGACCACAGCUGGAGAAAGGAGGCAUAGGAGGACUAAAUGCUCCCUCCCAGAUCAGCAGGCUAUAAAUAGUUCCCCUAGAGCACGGUCCUUAAUAGAGAACGGAGAAAAUGUAUGGUAAACAGAAAUGUGCAAA
This is a non-coding RNA of Vicugna pacos (alpaca), 1417 nucleotides long. The record is from RefSeq and is a predicted model, not a curated record. Lineage: Eukaryota; Metazoa; Chordata; Mammalia; Artiodactyla; Camelidae.